AACGAACGCUGGCGGCAUGCCUAACACAUGCAAGUCGAACGAGACCUUCGGGUCUAGUGGCGCACGGGUGCGUAACGCGUGGGAACCUGCCUUUAGGUUCGGAAUAACAGUGAGAAAUUACUGCUAAUACCGGAUGAUGUCUUCGGACCAAAGAUUUAUCGCCUUUAGAUGGGCCCGCGUUGGAUUAGCUAGUUGGUGGGGUAAAGGCCUACCAAGGCGACGAUCCAUAGCUGGUCUGAGAGGAUGAUCAGCCACACUGGGACUGAGACACGGCCCAGACUCCUACGGGAGGCAGCAGUGGGGAAUAUUGGACAAUGGGCGAAAGCCUGAUCCAGCAAUGCCGCGUGAGUGAUGAAGGCCUUAGGGUUGUAAAGCUCUUUUACCCGAGAUGAUAAUGACAGUAUCGGGAGAAUAAAGCUCCGGCUAACUCCGUG
Molecule: ribosomal RNA, 434 nt
Filed under: uncultured bacterium
Lineage: Bacteria
Description: bacterial SSU rRNA
Rfam family: Bacterial small subunit ribosomal RNA
Source: RNAcentral